Molecule: ribosomal RNA, 209 nt
Filed under: uncultured eukaryote
Lineage: Eukaryota
Description: partial 18S ribosomal RNA
Source: RNAcentral
UCGUGGAGUGAUCUGUCUGCUUAAUUGCGUUUCAGAUUUAUGCACCGAUAUGUUGUGUGGUGUGAUGUCUACGGGCACGCAUCACGCGCAUGCGAGUGCUAUGAAGGCAACGAACGUGACCGCAACCCUUUGUUGCAUCCGUCGCAGUGCGCCCAUUAGUUUAGGCUAAUGUUGUGAGCCUCGGCAAGGAUUGCAAACUAAGGGGACCG